Molecule: long non-coding RNA, 264 nt
Filed under: Medicago truncatula (barrel medic)
Lineage: Eukaryota; Viridiplantae; Streptophyta; Magnoliopsida; Fabales; Fabaceae
Description: long non-coding RNA (MTRU_LNC005229)
Source: RNAcentral
UUACUGGCAAAGUUGUACCUUAUUUUGGUAACUAGUAACUAGUAAAUUCAGACCACACGGUGACAAGCCUUAUUAUUUUUCCAUCUUCCCAUUUGAUAAAACCCCAUAUUUUUAAUUGAAGUCCUUUAUAAAACCUUGCUUCAAACCAAAAUCGACAAACAAUAAUAUCUAAUAUGAAGGCUGUUGUCAGACAUGUACAGUAAAAUUUGGCAUGACAUGUUUUAAUCAAAAGGCCUGUAGAACUUGUUUCUAUUUAUUUAUCUU